GAGAGGUCGAGGGAGAGAGAGAGGUCGAGGGAGAGAGGUCGAGGGAGAGAGAGAGAGGGAGAGAGGUCGAGAGAGAGGACGAGGGAGAGAGAGAGGUCGAGGGAGAGAGAGAGGUCGAGAGAGAGGUCGAGAGAGAGGUCGAGGUCGAGAG
Oncorhynchus keta (chum salmon) is the source of this 151-nucleotide long non-coding RNA. RefSeq lists it as uncharacterized. The transcript has 3 exons. The record is from RefSeq and is a predicted model, not a curated record. NCBI's taxonomy places the organism in Eukaryota, Metazoa, Chordata, Actinopteri, Salmoniformes, Salmonidae.